AACAAACAUUUAAUCUUUUACGCUCUGUUUUUUACUUUACAUAAGAAAAGCUCAGUUUUACAGAGUUUCCCAAACUUCAGAGCCCAUAUCUUUAAUAUUUUGUUUUCAGGAAUUCACUCAUCUUAUAUGGAUUUGAAAGAAGGCACACUAGUAGUAAUGGGAGAUGUUGAUCCUGUGGAGUU
RNAcentral lists this small RNA (182 nucleotides) under Arabidopsis thaliana (thale cress). RNAcentral's name for it is "ATSL064070". The record is from RNAcentral. Lineage: Eukaryota; Viridiplantae; Streptophyta; Magnoliopsida; Brassicales; Brassicaceae.